Molecule: non-coding RNA, 572 nt
Organism: Odocoileus virginianus texanus
Lineage: Eukaryota; Metazoa; Chordata; Mammalia; Artiodactyla; Cervidae
Source: RefSeq, a predicted model, not a curated record
GAUGUGGCUUUGAAGAACUUUGCCAAGUACUUUCUUCACCAAUCUCAUGAGGAGAGGGAACAUGCUGAGAGACUAAUGAAGCUGCAGAACCAGCGAGGCGGCCGAAUCUUCCUUCAGGAUAUCAAGAAACCAGACCGUGAUGACUGGGAGAAUGGGCUGAAUGCAAUGGAAUGUGCGCUGUGUUUGGAAAGAAGUGUGAAUCAAUCACUACUGGAACUGCACAAACUGGCCACUGAAAAAAACGAUCCCCAUCUGUGUGAUUUCAUUGAGACUCAUUACCUGAAUGAGCAGGUGGAAGCCAUCAAAGAAUUGGGUGACCACGUAACCGACCUGUGCAAGAUGGGGGCCCCUGGAUCUGGCAUGGCAGAGUACCUCUUUGACAAGCACACCCUGGGACACAGUGAGCGCUAAGCCUCAGGCUGGCUUCCCACAGCCACGGGUGACUCCUGGUCACCAAGGCAGUGCAUGCAUAUUUGGGUCACCUUCACUUUUUCUAUAAGUUGUAACAAAACAUCUACUUAAGUUCUUUCCUUAAGUACUUAAGUACCAUUCCUUCAAGUAAAGUAAUUUGG